This 459-nucleotide ribosomal RNA is filed under the name uncultured bacterium. Its description in RNAcentral is "partial 16S ribosomal RNA". It matches the Rfam family "Bacterial small subunit ribosomal RNA", at positions 338 to 795 of the family's 1533-position model. The record is from RNAcentral.
CCUACGGGUGGCAGCAGUGAGGAAUAUUGGUCAAUGGGCUUACGCCUGAACCAGCCAAGUCGCGUGAGGGAAGACUGCCCUAUGGGUUGUAAACCUCUUUUGUCAGGGAACAAAGGCGGGGACUAGUCCCCGGAUGAGGGUACCUGAAGAAAAAGCAUCGGCUAACUCCGUGCCAGCAGCCGCGGUAAUACGGAGGAUGCGAGCGUUAUCCGGAUUUAUUGGGUUUAAAGGGUGCGCAGGCGGCCUGUUCAGUCAGCGGUAAAAGCCCGGGGCUCAACCCCGGCGAGCCGUUGAAACUGGCGUGCUGGAGUUGGAGAGAGGUACGCGGAAUGCGCGGUGUAGCGGUGAAAUUCUUAGAGAUCGCGCAGAACCCCGAUUGCGAAGGCAGCGUACCGGCUCCACACUGACGCUGAGGCACGAAAGCGUGGGUAUCGAACAGGAUUAGAUACCCUUGUAGUC